GUCCACGCCGUAACGAUGUCAACUAGCUGUUGGUCAUAUAAAUAUGAUUAGUGGCGAAGCUAACGCGAUAAGUUGACCGCCUGGGAGUACGGUCGCAAGAUUAAACUCAAAGGAAUUGACGGGGCCCGCACAAGCGGUGGAGCAUGUGGUUUAAUUCGAUGCAACGCGAAGAACCUUACCUACCCUUGACAUACAGUGAAUUAAGCAGAGAUGUUUGAGUGCCUUCGGGAACACUGAUACAGGUGCUGCAUGGCUGUCGU
Molecule: ribosomal RNA, 260 nt
Filed under: uncultured bacterium
Lineage: Bacteria
Description: partial 16S ribosomal RNA
Rfam family: Bacterial small subunit ribosomal RNA
Source: RNAcentral